This is a long non-coding RNA of Homo sapiens (human), 358 nucleotides long. NCBI's taxonomy places the organism in Eukaryota, Metazoa, Chordata, Mammalia, Primates, Hominidae. The record is from Ensembl.
UUGUUUCUCUAUCCAUCUCCUACACACAGCCAGGCCACACAGGUAUGGACUAACAACACUCUAUGUGGCCUAAAAACCAACCAAAUCAAGUUUCUAUCAAGGCAGAAGAGGCAGGACAGCCAAGGAAUUGAGCAUAAAGGACACUCUACUGUGAGAGCUAGCCUUGAUUUGACAUGUGUCAGGAAACAUACGACCUCAAACAAUCUUCAUACACAAUGAAGAGAUAUAAGAAGAUUUGGUAAUCCAGGAAGUCUCGAAAGUUCUUCAGAAAUGUUUAACCUAUUUCAAAAAUUUUCAUUACUCUGCGCACACUAUUCCUCAUUACAGAAAGUGCUCAAUAAACUUCUGUAUGCUCCUA